AGAGAGAGAGAGAGAGAGAGAGGCGGAGAGGCCGAGAGAGUAGGAAACAACAUAGGGUUUUUUUUUGUUUCUUAUUUAUACUGUAAUUAAGAUUCAAUUAAUUAGUGUAUUUUAAAGUCUAAUUCUUUCCUUAUUUGGAAGUGAGUCUUUAUUAUUGGGACACCCCAAUAAGGAAAGUGGGUCUUAAAUAAUGGGACGGAGGGAGUAUUAUAUUUUCUUUUCUUUUGGACUUCCAGCCCAAAGUACUUAUAAGAAAUCGGCCCAAUCAAUUUCAAUGUGUACGUGAGUUUGUAUAAUUCAUUUGUAAAUUUCUGAAUUGUUCCUUUCUCUCCUAGAAUGCUACAGUUUAAACAAGAAGGAGCUACGUCAAUCUGCUCUAACUUUUUUUUUUUUUAUACGAACAAUUUUGGCAUCUACAAUCCUUCACACCAACUUUUAACCCUCAUAUAAAAAUCAAUUUUU
RNAcentral lists this long non-coding RNA (462 nucleotides) under Salvia miltiorrhiza (redroot sage). RNAcentral's name for it is "long non-coding RNA (SMIL_LNC003433)". The record is from RNAcentral. Lineage: Eukaryota; Viridiplantae; Streptophyta; Magnoliopsida; Lamiales; Lamiaceae.